Molecule: ribosomal RNA, 471 nt
Filed under: uncultured bacterium
Lineage: Bacteria
Description: bacterial SSU rRNA
Rfam family: Bacterial small subunit ribosomal RNA
Source: RNAcentral
ACUCCUACGGGAGGCAGCAGUGGGGAAUAUUGCACAAUGGGCGCAAGCCUGAUGCAGCCAUGCCGCGUGUAUGAAGAAGGCCUCGGGUUGUAAAGUACUUUCAGCAGUGAGGAAGGCAGGUACGUUAAUAGCGUGCUUGUUUGACGUUAGCUGCAGAAGAAGCACCGGCUAACUCCGUGCCAGCAGCCGCGGUAAUACGGAGGGUGCGAGCGUUAAUCGGAAUUACUGGGCGUAAAGCGCAUGCAGGUGGUUUGUUAAGUCAGAUGUGAAAGCCCGGGGCUCAACCUCGGAAUUGCAUUUGAAACUGGCAGACUAGAGUACUGUAGAGGGGGUAGAAUUUCAGGUGUAGCGGUGAAAUGCGUAGAGAUCUGAAGGAAUACCGGUGGCGAAGGCGGCCCCCUGGACAGAUACUGACACUCAGAUGCGAAAGCGUGGGGAGCAAACAGGAUUAGAUACCCUGGUAGGAUAGCG